CGGGAAUUUUGGGCAAUGGGCGAAAGCCUGACCCAGCAACGCCGCGUGAGGGAUGAAGUAUUUCGGUAUGUAAACCUCGAAAGAAUGGGAAGAAUAAAUGACGGUACCAUUUAUAAGCUCCGGCUAACUACGUGCCAGCAGCCGCGGUAAUACGUAGGGAGCAAGCGUUGUUCGGAUUUACUGGGCGUAAAGGGCGCGUAGGCGGCGCGGUAAGUCACUUGUGAAAUCUCUGAGCUUAACUCAGAACGGCCAAGUGAUACUGCUGUGCUAGAGUGCGGAAGAGGCAACCGGAAUUCUUGGUGUAGCGGUGAAAUGCGUAGAUAUCAAGAGGAACACCUGAGGCGAAGGCGGGUUGCUGGGCCGACACCGACGCUGAUGCGCGAAAGCCAGGGGAGCAAACG
Molecule: ribosomal RNA, 401 nt
Filed under: uncultured bacterium
Lineage: Bacteria
Description: bacterial SSU rRNA
Rfam family: Bacterial small subunit ribosomal RNA
Source: RNAcentral